Molecule: unclassified non-coding RNA, 1259 nt
Filed under: Leishmania donovani
Lineage: Eukaryota; Euglenozoa; Kinetoplastea; Trypanosomatida; Trypanosomatidae
Description: gene:unknown
Source: RNAcentral
CGCGAGCGCCGCCAUGCACAGCUGGCAUGCCGCAUCGCAUGCAGAGGGGCGUGGCGCGAAGAGAGCCCACAGUGCAUGUGCGCAAAACAUGCCGUAUCGGCUCCAGCCGACCAAAUGGGGGCUCGUGAGGCGCAGAUGCCGGAAGCAUCACCAGAGCAGCCUGCACUACAUCAUCCAGUCAUCCGGAGUCCACUGUGGAGGGUGGUGGCCGUCGUCGUCGUAGGGGGGAGGGGGGUCGCCACGCCGUAUGUGACGGGAUGCAGCGGCCUUCAGGAGACUGACGGGGAGAAGCACGGCAUGCAGGCAGACGUUGCAGGGUCUCACAGGGCCCUGGGCUGAGGCUGGGCAGCAUCCUACCUCGGCUCGUGCGGCAUGCGCCUAGGCCACCACCGGCAUGCUACCCCUGCCCCCCACCCUUUGACAGACGCCACCGCCCUCGAGUAACGCCCGUGAGGGCGGUCCCGCCUACUUUGGUGCGCGCCAUGCGGCCCGGUGGGUGUGGCGCCGAUGGCGCAGGCAUGCCUGCGAGGGGGGAGGGACAGGCUGAGCCCGUUAUAGACGCGUGGCCGGAUGCAGCGGCCGGACGGCUCGUCCUAGAGGACGCGGAUGUGGCCGCCGUGCCGCAGGGGGUGGGUGAGGGGCGGCUGUGUGUGUACGUAUAUAUCGGGGUACGAGUUUGUGGUAGGCGGAAGACGGUAGUGACAGUGCCGGUUGAUGUGUUGGCAGACGUACGUUUUUUUGUGUUCCUGUUGCUGUUUCCUGCGCUCUGGUUGUGAUCCAUCUUACCUUACCAUGCAGAGGGCAGAGGAAAAGCGGGCCGAUACAGUGGCACUUACGUGAUUUCUGUAUGUGAUGAGAGCAUGGCGUUCUGACACGCCUUCGGAAACUGAAGGGGAGAGAGCGCACGACGACCUCGAGGAUUCGGCGUAGAGUGAAAAAGAAGGGAAGAGACGGCAGAGGAGUGGACACCAGCGACAGAGGCGAGAAAAGCAUGAGAGCGACACAAGAAAGCAAAAAAAAAAGAUUUGUGGUGCGGUGGCGUUUCCUGGUGCGACGACGUCGACUGUAUGAGCUUUAGCUCUCCGUGUUCCUGCUCCUGUGGAGGGGCGUCCCCGCAUAUAUGCUGGCACCGGCUCCACGAGAUCUGCAGGUCUGUGUGGGUGAUGCCAGGUCGUAUUGCUGAGGUCUCACGUAGCUCUUUGAGUGGACUCCCCGUUACCUUGUUUCUUUACUGGCCUUUGUAUUAUGAUCUCUUCAAG